AUAAUAAAAAAAGUGGAACAACUAAAUGUAAAGCCAUGAAUAUGCUAUAUCGUUCAUUAGAUAUAAAUAAAUUUAACUUGAUUUCUUCUUAUAUUUCAGUAAAGCAAGUGUGGAAUAAAUUGGAAGCAACCUAUGAAAAAAUAAAUCAAGAAGAAGAAUCAUGCUCCAAAGAGGAUAAGGAUGCACCCCCCAAACAUAUGUCUUAUGGCUCAUAAGGUUAAAAGGAAAAAAGAAGAAGAAGAAACAAAGG
This 250-nucleotide long non-coding RNA is filed under the name Elaeis guineensis (African oil palm). RNAcentral's name for it is "long non-coding RNA (EGUI_LNC037971)". Lineage: Eukaryota; Viridiplantae; Streptophyta; Magnoliopsida; Arecales; Arecaceae. The record is from RNAcentral.